This 433-nucleotide ribosomal RNA is filed under the name uncultured bacterium. RNAcentral's name for it is "partial 16S ribosomal RNA". It matches the Rfam family "Bacterial small subunit ribosomal RNA", at positions 29 to 507 of the family's 1533-position model. The record is from RNAcentral.
AACGAACGCUGGCGGCAUGCCUAACACAUGCAAGUCGAACGAGACCUUCGGGUCUAGUGUCGCACGGGUGCGUAACGCGUGGGAACCUGCCCUUAGGUUCGGAAUAACUCCCCGACAGGGGUGCUAAUACCGGAUAAUGUCUUCGGACCAAAGAUUUAUCGCCUUUGGAUGGGCCCGCGUUGGAUUAUCUAGUUGGUAGGGUAAAAGCCUACCAAGGCGACGAUCCAUAGCUGGUCUGAGAGGAUGAUCAGCCACACUGGGACUGAGACACGGCCCAGACUCCUACGGGAAGCAGCAGUGGGGAAUAUUGGACAAUGGGCGAAAGCCUGAGCCAGCAAUGCCGCGUGAGUGAUGAAGGCCUUAGGGUUGUAAAGCUCUUUUACCCGGGAUGAUAAUGACAGUACCGGGAGAAUAAGCGCCGGCUAACUCCGUG